CAGGACGAACGCUGGCGGCGUGCCUAAUACAUGCAAGUCGAACGGUCUUUCUAUGGAAGCUGCUUCCACUGAGAAGAUAGUGGCGAACGGGUGAGUAACACGUGGGUAACCUGCCCAUAAGAGGGGGAUAACAUCCGGAAACGGGUGCUAAUACCGCAUAGUUUUCUUGAUCGCAUGAUUGAGAAAGGAAAGACGGCCUUUGUGCUGUCGCUUAUGGAUGGACCCGCGGCGUAUUAGUUAGUUGGUGAGGUAACGGCUCACCAAGACGAUGAUACGUAGCCGACCUGAGAGGGUGAUCGGCCACAUUGGGACUGAGACACGGCCCAAACUCCCACGGGAGGCAGCAGUAGGGAAUCUUCCGCAAUGGACGAAAGUCUGACGGAGCAACGCCGCGUGAGUGAAAGAAGGUUUUCGGAUCGUAAAACUCUGUUGUCAGAGAAGAACAAGUUGGAGAGUAACUGCUCCAGCCUUGACGGUAUCUGACCAGAAAGCCACGGCUAACUACGUGCCAGCCGCGGC
This 519-nucleotide ribosomal RNA is filed under the name uncultured bacterium. RNAcentral describes it as "bacterial SSU rRNA". It matches the Rfam family "Bacterial small subunit ribosomal RNA", at positions 25 to 518 of the family's 1533-position model. The record is from RNAcentral.